UUUGGAUGGCAUUAUCGAUUCAGGAAGCGUUUUAAAUAGUAAUAAAUCAUCAAGUGAUGAUGGUGUAAACGUGCAAACUAAUUGUAAUAAGUUUUCUUCGCAUUCAUCUCUAACUGAAUCGAAUUUCAAGUAUGGAACGUAUAAACCAAUAGAAUGGACUAUAGAAUAGCAUAGCAUAUAGCUAUAGAAUAGCAGUCUACUAUGAGCUUGAUGUAUUCAACUAAUGGUGGUGGUCGUUUUAUUUUUGACUGAUGCAAAAGUAAACUGAUAGAGGUUGUUAUUAAAGAACUUAGACGACACAAGGUUUUUUGAAGAUUUUUUUAUGAAAUAUCCAGAAACAAAAAACUAUCGACAUAAUUGGCUGUACUUUAUUAAAAAAGUGGACUUUGUUUUCAAACGACUUAUUGAGCUCGCAUAGAAAUUUAGUGAAAGAUAGUGAAAAUGCUAACGACUUAUUAAAACAACUCGUCGAUACUAUACGACUAUUUAAUACUAGAACAAGCAACGCAUUGAAACUUGUACUAAUUCCAUAUCUAGUAUUAACUAAAACUCAAAUGAAAACAAACAAAAAGUCUGGGAAAUCAUCGCUAGUUGAAUGCGUUUCGUCUUUUGUUAUAAAUGUUUCAGUAUAAAUAAACGAAAAGAUGCACACCUUUAAGUUCAUAACGCAUUAAGUGUUUUAAUUUUAUAUGAACUUGUGUCACAUUCAAUACAUGUCGUAUUGAAAUUAUUUAUAUAAAUAUUCAUUUUCGGAAUUUAAACGAUUCAGAAUUCAAAAUAAUUUACCCGACUCAAAUCCGACCAUUAAAAGAGUUUUGGGUACCGGUAAAAACUACGAGACCCUUAAAUAUAUUUUAUAACUGUUAUACGGUUGUAUAUUUAAAAAUGUAUAUCUUAUUGUUUAUUAAUAAUAUUAAA
Daktulosphaira vitifoliae (grape phylloxera) is the source of this 918-nucleotide long non-coding RNA. RefSeq lists it as uncharacterized. The record is from RefSeq and is a predicted model, not a curated record. The transcript is spliced from 4 exons. NCBI's taxonomy places the organism in Eukaryota, Metazoa, Arthropoda, Insecta, Hemiptera, Phylloxeridae.